UUGCGGGUUGGCCGGCGGCCCGCCGAGUG
This 29-nucleotide small RNA is filed under the name Bombyx mori (domestic silkworm). RNAcentral describes it as "ovarian small RNA-37876". The record is from RNAcentral. Lineage: Eukaryota; Metazoa; Arthropoda; Insecta; Lepidoptera; Bombycidae.